RNAcentral lists this transfer RNA (87 nucleotides) under Gammaproteobacteria bacterium. RNAcentral describes it as "tRNA-Leu". It matches the Rfam family "tRNA". From Rfam's summary of the family: Transfer RNA (tRNA) molecules are approximately 80 nucleotides in length. Their secondary structure includes four short double-helical elements and three loops (D, anti-codon, and T loops). Further hydrogen bonds mediate the characteristic L-shaped molecular structure. tRNAs have two regions of fundamental functional importance: the anti-codon, which is responsible for specific mRNA codon recognition, and the 3' end, to which the tRNAs corresponding amino acid is attached (by aminoacyl-tRNA synthetases). tRNAs cope with the degeneracy of the genetic code in two manners: having more than one tRNA (with a specific anti-codon) for a particular amino acid; and 'wobble' base-pairing, i.e. permitting non-standard base-pairing at the 3rd anti-codon position. RNAcentral also lists the same sequence under 1 other name. Lineage: Bacteria; Pseudomonadati; Pseudomonadota; Gammaproteobacteria. The record is from RNAcentral.
GCCCGGGUGGCGGAAUUGGUAGACGCUGCGGACUUAAAAUCCGUUGACCGAGAGGUCGUGCGAGUUCAAGUCUCGCCCCGGGCACCA